This 545-nucleotide long non-coding RNA is filed under the name Solanum tuberosum (potato). Its description in RNAcentral is "long non-coding RNA (STUB_LNC009794)". The record is from RNAcentral. Lineage: Eukaryota; Viridiplantae; Streptophyta; Magnoliopsida; Solanales; Solanaceae.
AGUUUUGAAUUUCUGAAAAUUCAUAAGCUCACAAAGAAAAAAAGGUCAUCUUCAAGGAAGAACACUGCUCAUGGUCAACAAGGGAUCUGAUGGAGUGCUGAAGCGUCUUUGUUGAAUUUUAGCUUUGUGUCUUAUGUUCUUAUAUUGUAAAUCUACUCCUAAGUUAUAAAGGAUAGUAGAUCGGUUGUUUGUCUAAUUCUUUAGUUUGAGUCGUACUAACUAGAGUUAGUUAGUCGAAUCAUCUAUGUUUUAGUCAAAUGUUUUUAUAUCAUUAUUUUGAUGUUCUCUUGGGUAGAGUUGCCUAAGAGUGUCAACUAGAGUUAGUUGAUGUGUGGGCGCAACAGAGUUGCUGCUUGUUUAGCUCUUACCGUCAAGAUCUGAGUUGGUGGCUAGAGUUAGCUGAACUCGCAGCCUAGCCAUAAUGGAAUGUGUGUGUAUGACUCCAGCAACUGCUUCCUCCUGUGCGACUAUUCGAUGGUCGAUUUCCUGAAAGAUUUCAACCAGUUCAUUAUAGAAAGUAGACAAAGGUCUACCAUUCUGUUUCG